AUUGAACGCUGGCGGCAGGCCUAACACAUGCAAGUCGAACGGUAGCACAGAGAGCUUGCUCUCGGGUGACGAGUGGCGGACGGGUGAGUAACGUCUGGGAAACUGCCCGAUGGAGGGGGAUAACUACUGGAAACGGUAGCUAAUACCGCAGAACGUCGCAAGACCAAAGUGGGGGACCUUCGGGCCUCACACCAUCCGAUGUGCCCAGGUGGGAUUAGCGAGUAGGUGGGGUAAUGGCUCACCUAGGCGACGAUCCCUAGCUGGUCUGAGAGGAUGACCAGCCACACUGGAACUGAGACACGGUCCAGACUCCUACGGGAGGCAGCAGUGGGGAAUAUUGCACAAUGGGCGCAAGCCUGAUGCAGCCAUGCCGCGUGUAUGAAGAAGGCCUUCGGGUUGUAAAGUACUUUCAGCGGGGAGGAAGGCGGUGAAGUUAACAGCUUCACCGAUUGACGUUACCCGCAGAAGAAGCACCGGCUAACUCCGUGCCAGCCGCCGCCGUAA
RNAcentral lists this ribosomal RNA (504 nucleotides) under uncultured bacterium. RNAcentral describes it as "partial 16S ribosomal RNA". It matches the Rfam family "Bacterial small subunit ribosomal RNA", at positions 29 to 523 of the family's 1533-position model. The record is from RNAcentral.